AGAGACGUGACUCCCGCUACG
RNAcentral lists this microRNA (21 nucleotides) under Lotus japonicus. Its description in RNAcentral is "lja-miR7516-3p". The record is from miRBase by way of RNAcentral. Lineage: Eukaryota; Viridiplantae; Streptophyta; Magnoliopsida; Fabales; Fabaceae.